GGACAUCGCUCAGCAGUAGAGCAUUUGCUUUGCACGCAGAAGGUCCCAGCUUCAAUCCCUAGUAACUCCA
Molecule: non-coding RNA, 70 nt
Organism: Podarcis lilfordi (Lilford's wall lizard)
Lineage: Eukaryota; Metazoa; Chordata; Lepidosauria; Squamata; Lacertidae
Source: the annotation of a GenBank genome assembly